UUAAUUGAAACCAAAACAGAGGUAUAUUACUGUUAAUAAUAUUAAUGAGAAACACUCCAAUUAAA
RNAcentral lists this transfer RNA (65 nucleotides) under Ochthebius colveranus. RNAcentral's name for it is "tRNA-Asn". Lineage: Eukaryota; Metazoa; Arthropoda; Insecta; Coleoptera; Hydraenidae. The record is from RNAcentral.